Molecule: ribosomal RNA, 494 nt
Filed under: uncultured bacterium
Lineage: Bacteria
Description: bacterial SSU rRNA
Rfam family: Bacterial small subunit ribosomal RNA
Source: RNAcentral
GAUGAACGCUAGCGGCAGGCUUAAUACAUGCAAGUCGAACGGGAUUUAGGGUAGCAAUACUUUAAUGAGAGUGGCGCACGGGUGCGUAACACGUAUGCAACCUACCUUCAACUGGAAGAUAGCCCCGGGAAAUCGGGAUUAAUAUUUCAUAACAAUGCGCUGUGGCAUCACAGUGCAUUUAAAGCUCCGGCGGUUAAAGAUGGGCAUGCGCGACAUUAGCUAGUUGGUGAGGUAACGGCUCACCAAGGCUACGAUGUCUAGGGGUCCUGAGAGGGUUAUCCCCCACACUGGUACUGAGACACGGACCAGACUCCUACGGGAGGCAGCAGUAAGGAAUAUUGGUCAAUGGGCGCAAGCCUGAACCAGCCAUGCCGCGUGCAGGAAGACGGCCCUAUGGGUUGUAAACUGCUUUUAUCAGGGAAUAAACCUUUGUACGUGUACAGAGCUGAAGGUACCUGAAGAAUAAGCAUCGGCUAACUCCGUGCCAGCGACGC